RNAcentral lists this ribosomal RNA (1487 nucleotides) under Staphylococcus haemolyticus. RNAcentral's name for it is "16S ribosomal RNA". It matches the Rfam family "Bacterial small subunit ribosomal RNA". The record is from RNAcentral. Lineage: Bacteria; Bacillati; Bacillota; Bacilli; Caryophanales; Staphylococcaceae.
UUUGAGUUUGAUCCUGGCUCAGGAUGAACGCUGGCGGCGUGCCUAAUACAUGCAAGUCGAGCGAACAGACAAGGAGCUUGCUCCUUUGACGUUAGCGGCGGACGGGUGAGUAACACGUGGGUAACCUACCUAUAAGACUGGGAUAACUUCGGGAAACCGGAGCUAAUACCGGAUAAUAUUUCGAACCGCAUGGUUCGAUAGUGAAAGAUGGUUUUGCUAUCACUUAUAGAUGGACCCGCGCCGUAUUAGCUAGUUGGUAAGGUAACGGCUUACCAAGGCGACGAUACGUAGCCGACCUGAGAGGGUGAUCGGCCACACUGGAACUGAGACACGGUCCAGACUCCUACGGGAGGCAGCAGUAGGGAAUCUUCCGCAAUGGGCGAAAGCCUGACGGAGCAACGCCGCGUGAGUGAUGAAGGUCUUCGGAUCGUAAAACUCUGUUAUUAGGGAAGAACAUACGUGUAAGUAACUAUGCACGUCUUGACGGUACCUAAUCAGAAAGCCACGGCUAACUACGUGCCAGCAGCCGCGGUAAUACGUAGGUGGCAAGCGUUAUCCGGAAUUAUUGGGCGUAAGCGCGCGUAGGCGGUUUUUUAAGUCUGAUGUGAAAGCCCACGGCUCAACCGUGGAGGGUCAUUGGAAACUGGAAAACUUGAGUGCAGAAGAGGAAAGUGGAAUUCCAUGUGUAGCGGUGAAAUGCGCAGAGAUAUGGAGGAACACCAGUGGCGAAGGCGACUUUCUGGUCUGUAACUGACGCUGAUGUGCGAAAGCGUGGGGAUCAAACAGGAUUAGAUACCCUGGUAGUCCACGCCGUAAACGAUGAGUGCUAAGUGUUAGGGGGUUUCCGCCCCUUAGUGCUGCAGCUAACGCAUUAAGCACUCCGCCUGGGGAGUACGACCGCAAGGUUGAAACUCAAAGGAAUUGACGGGGACCCGCACAAGCGGUGGAGCAUGUGGUUUAAUUCGAAGCAACGCGAAGAACCUUACCAAAUCUUGACAUCCUUUGACAACUCUAGAGAUAGAGCCUUCCCCUUCGGGGGACAAAGUGACAGGUGGUGCAUGGUUGUCGUCAGCUCGUGUCGUGAGAUGUUGGGUUAAGUCCCGCAACGAGCGCACCCUUAAGCUUAGUUGCCAUCAUUAAGUUGGGCACUCUAAGUUGACUGCCGGUGACAAACCGGAGGAAGGUGGGGAUGACGUCAAAUCAUCAUGCCCCUUAUGAUUUGGGCUACACACGUGCUACAAUGGACAAUACAAAGGGCAGCGAAACCGCGAGGUCAAGCAAAUCCCAUAAAGUUGUUCUCAGUUCGGAUUGUAGUCUGCAACUCGACUACAUGAAGCUGGAAUCGCUAGUAAUCGUAGAUCAGCAUGCUACGGUGAAUACGUUCCCGGGUCUUGUACACACCGCCCGUCACACCACGAGAGUUUGUAACACCCGAAGCCGGUGGAGUAACCAUUUGGAGCUAGCCGUCGAAGGUGGGACAAAUGAUU